Molecule: transfer RNA, 72 nt
Filed under: Stegodyphus mimosarum
Lineage: Eukaryota; Metazoa; Arthropoda; Arachnida; Araneae; Eresidae
Rfam family: tRNA
About the family: Transfer RNA (tRNA) molecules are approximately 80 nucleotides in length. Their secondary structure includes four short double-helical elements and three loops (D, anti-codon, and T loops). Further hydrogen bonds mediate the characteristic L-shaped molecular structure. tRNAs have two regions of fundamental functional importance: the anti-codon, which is responsible for specific mRNA codon recognition, and the 3' end, to which the tRNAs corresponding amino acid is attached (by aminoacyl-tRNA synthetases). tRNAs cope with the degeneracy of the genetic code in two manners: having more than one tRNA (with a specific anti-codon) for a particular amino acid; and 'wobble' base-pairing, i.e. permitting non-standard base-pairing at the 3rd anti-codon position.
Source: Rfam by way of RNAcentral
GCCUUCGUGGCAUAAUUGGUAGCAUGCUCGAUGCGUAUUCAAGAGGUCCAGGUUCAAGUCCCGGCGAGGGUA